UGAACUUAAGCCCCAGUAAACGGCGGCCGUAACUAUAACGGUCCUAAGGUAGCGAAAUUCCUUGUCGGGUAAGUUCCGACCCGCACGAAAGGCGUAAUGAUUUGGGCACUGUCUCGACAAUGCACCCGGUGAAAUUGAAGUACCAGUGAAGAUGCUGGUUACCUGCGCCAGGACGGAAAGACCCCAUGGAGCUUUACUCCAGCUUGAUACUGGGAUUCGGUACUGCAUGUACAGGAUAGGUGGGAGGCAAGGAAGUAAGGACGCCAGUCCUUAUGGAGCCGCUGUUGGGAUACCACCCUUGCGGUAUUGGGUUUCUAACCAGCAGCCGUGACCCGGCUGUGGGACAAUGUCAGGUGGGGAGUUUGACUGGGGCGGUCGCCUCCGAAAGGGUAUCGGAGGCGCUCAAAGGUUCCCUCAGAAUGGACGGAAACCAUUCGGAGAGUGCAAAGGCAGAAGGGAGCUUGACUGCGACACCGACGGGUGGAGCAGGUACGAAAGUAGGACUUAGUGAUCCGGUGGUAUAAAGUGGGAUUGCCAUCGCUCAACGGAUAAAAGCUACCCUGGGGAUAACAGGCUUAUCACUCCCAAGAGUUCACAUCGACGGAGUGGUUUGGCACCUCGAUGUCGGCUCAUCGCAUCCUGGGGCUGAAGUAGGUCCCAAGGGUUGGGCUGUUCGCCCAUUAAAGCGGUACGCGAGCUGGGUUCAGAACGUCGUGAGACAGUUCGGUCCCUAUCCGGCGUGGGCGUAGGAUAUUUGAGAGGAGCUGUCCUUAGUACGAGAGGACCGGGAUGGACCGGCCGCUGGUGGAUCUGUUGCGUCACCAGGCGCAUGGCAGAGUAGCCAAGCCGGGAAGGGAUAAACGCUGAAGGCAUCUAAGCGUGAAGCCCCCCUCAAGAUGAGAUAUCCCAUGCGAAAGCAGUAAGACCCCUUGAAGACGACGAGGUAGAUAGGGCAGAGGUGGAAGUGUGGCAACACAUGGAGCUGACUGUUACUAAUAGGUCGAGGGCAUAACCAAA
RNAcentral lists this ribosomal RNA (1017 nucleotides) under Sellimonas intestinalis. Its description in RNAcentral is "partial 23S ribosomal RNA". It matches the Rfam family "Bacterial large subunit ribosomal RNA", at positions 1908 to 2925 of the family's 2925-position model. Lineage: Bacteria; Bacillati; Bacillota; Clostridia; Lachnospirales; Lachnospiraceae. The record is from RNAcentral.